UAUCCAAAAAAUGGAAACAUUCAGAAAAGCAAGAGAGAUCAAACUGGGCCCAUUGCUACUUCUGGUGGGAUUCGCAAACCAAACAUCUAUUAAUCUCUCGUCUACAGCUGUUUUCGCGGCGGUAGCGAAGCAAAGCAACCGCUGUAGCAAGACUUCAUUUCCGUGUGAAGAGCUCCUUCUCCUUCUCGUUGUCAGUUGAGUUAGAGUCCACCUUGAUGAUGCAGCCUGAAGAGAAAAUCAGGAAAGGGGAAUAUAAAAAGGAGUCCACCUUGAUGAUGCAACCUGAAGAGAAAAUCGGUGAAGAAGAUGUAAAAAGCAAAGUUGAGCCAGAGUCUACCUUGAUGAUGCAAUGUGAAGAUAAACUCAGUGAAGGAGAAAGAUGUAAAAAACAAAGUUGAGCUGGAGUCCACCUUGAUGAUGCAACCGGAAGAGAAAAUCGGUGAAGGAGAAGAUGUAAAAAACAAAGAAGAUAUUAUCAGCCGGGACUAUGGUAGUUCCUCAAACAGUUAUGGGACUAAUCUUUCUCUAUAUAGGAAUAGAAAAAGGUGGUACAAGGUAAGGUUCGCAGAGAUGCAUUACCGUGAUGAGCAGGUAGCUCUGCUGCUAGACGCGCUUAAAUGUGAUAAGUCUGAACUCCAUUCUAUUUAUCGACACCGUAGUAUCCGUAUGUUUGAAGCUUAUAUGACUUAUGCAGAGGCUCAAAAAGUCCGUGCAUUGGAAGAAGUUGCGUAUGUUGGAUUGGUUCCAAUGAGUGACAAUGUGCAGUCUGCAAAACGAACCAAGUCUGGAAUUUUUGAGGCUAGACCAAAAUCGAAGAAACAAAAGCGUAGCCUAGGCAGCAUACUCUCGGAGCGGAGACAAAACAAAGAGAAAUGGAGGUAUAAUGAAGAUUUGGAGCAGGAGGCUAAAAUAGAGGAUUCCGAAGAAGAAGACUUCUCAGAGGAUGAAUGGAGCAGAGAUUACAGUGGUUCCAGUGACACUUUUCUCUCAACGUGGCAAUGGAAAAUUGGCUUUCACUAUUUAGGAUUGGGUUGUCAAAUAUUAUUCACUGUUUUGGUACAAGGUAUGCUUGUCAGGUGAGAAAGCAAAGGAUGAUCAGGUAGCUUUGUUGCUAGAUGUGCUUAAUUGUGAGCAGUCUGGAAUUCGUUCUAUUUAUAUAUAUCAUACUCCGGAUCUGUUUAAAGCUCGCAUGACUGAGGAAGAGGCCGAUAGAGUUGCCGGGUUGGGAGAAGUUGAGUUCGUGGAGCCACUAAGUUAUAUCAUAGCCCUUGAUUAGGACUUAGGCUAUCUUGCAAGUCGAUGAAAGUCACCAAGAAUGUUGUGUAAUCAGUUUCAUGCUACGUAUUAGUAUUAGACUUGGAACUAUUUGGAUUUAAUGGGAAUGUCUUUUGAAGUUACUAAAAUAAUAGGAGGCUGUCAAGAAAGUGUCCCAAAGGUUUUCAAGAAAGUAUUUGAAUGUUAUAUAAAAUAGUUAUAUCGUAUUAGAUAUUUCUAGCCAAUAUUUCACAUCUUUUUAUCA
This is an RNA transcript of Theobroma cacao (cacao), 1519 nucleotides long. RefSeq lists it as uncharacterized. The record is from RefSeq and is a predicted model, not a curated record. NCBI's taxonomy places the organism in Eukaryota, Viridiplantae, Streptophyta, Magnoliopsida, Malvales, Malvaceae.